RNAcentral lists this ribosomal RNA (1249 nucleotides) under Escherichia coli. RNAcentral's name for it is "partial 23S ribosomal RNA". It matches the Rfam family "Bacterial large subunit ribosomal RNA", at positions 1713 to 2925 of the family's 2925-position model. Lineage: Bacteria; Pseudomonadati; Pseudomonadota; Gammaproteobacteria; Enterobacterales; Enterobacteriaceae. The record is from RNAcentral.
CUAGGCAAAAUGGUGCCGUAACUUCGGGAGAAGGCACGCUGAUAUGUAGGUGAAGCGACUUGCUCGUGGAGCUGAAAUCAGUCGAAGAUACCAGCUGGCUGCAACUGUUUAUUAAAAACACAGCACUGUGCAAACACGAAAGUGGACGUAUACGGUGUGACGCCUGCCCGGUGCCGGAAGGUUAAUUGAUGGGGUUAGCGGUAACGCGAAGCUCUUGAUCGAAGCCCCGGUAAACGGCGGCCGUAACUAUAACGGUCCUAAGGUAGCGAAAUUCCUUGUCGGGUAAGUUCCGACCUGCACGAAUGGCGUAAUGAUGGCCAGGCUGUCUCCACCCGAGACUCAGUGAAAUUGAACUCGCUGUGAAGAUGCAGUGUACCCGCGGCAAGACGGAAAGACCCCGUGAACCUUUACUAUAGCUUGACACUGAACAUUGAGCCUUGAUGUGUAGGAUAGGUGGGAGGCUUUGAAGUGUGGACGCCAGUCUGCAUGGAGCCGACCUUGAAAUACCACCCUUUAAUGUUUGAUGUUCUAACGUUGGCCCCUGAUCGGGGUUGCGGACAGUGUCUGGUGGGUAGUUUGACUGGGGCGGUCUCCUCCUAAAGAGUAACGGAGGAGCACGAAGGUUGGCUAAUCCUGGUCGGACAUCAGGAGGUUAGUGCAAUGGCAUAAGCCAGCUUGACUGCGAGCGUGACGGCGCGAGCAGGUGCGAAAGCAGGUCAUAGUGAUCCGGUGGUUCUGAAUGGAAGGGCCAUCGCUCAACGGAUAAAAGGUACUCCGGGGAUAACAGGCUGAUACCGCCCAAGAGUUCAUAUCGACGGCGGUGUUUGGCACCUCGAUGUCGGCUCAUCACAUCCUGGGGCUGAAGUAGGUCCCAAGGGUAUGGCUGUUCGCCAUUUAAAGUGGUACGCGAGCUGGGUUUAGAACGUCGUGAGACAGUUCGGUCCCUAUCUGCCGUGGGCGAUGGAGAACUGAGGGGGGCUGCUCCUAGUACGAGAGGACCGGAGUGGACGCAUCACUGGUGUUCGGGUUGUCAUGCCAAUGGCACUGCCCGGUAGCUAAAUGCGGAAGAGAUAAGUGCUGAAAGCAUCUAAGCACGAAACUUGCCCCGAGAUGAGUUCUCCCUGAGACUUUAAGUCUCCUGAAGGAACGUUGAAGACGACGACGUUGAUAGGCCGGGUGUGUAAGCGCAGCGAUGCGUUGAGCUAACCGGUACUAAUGAACCGUGAGGCUUAACCUUACAACGCCGAAG